Long non-coding RNA from Oncorhynchus tshawytscha (Chinook salmon), 1406 nucleotides. NCBI's taxonomy places the organism in Eukaryota, Metazoa, Chordata, Actinopteri, Salmoniformes, Salmonidae. The record is from Ensembl.
GUUAUGUUGGUUAAUACCAAGGUGUUAUGUUGGUUAAUACCAAGGUGUUAUGUUGGUUAAUACCAAGGUGUUAUGUUGGUUGAAACCAAGGUGCUUUGUUGGGUGAAACCAAGGUGUUAUGUUGGUUAAUACCAAGGUGUUAUGUUGGUUAAUACCAAAGUGUUAUGUUGGUUGAAACCAAGGUGCUUUGUUGGGUGAAACCAAGGUGUUAUGUUGGUUAAUACCAAGGUGUUAUGUUGGUUGAUACCAAGGUGCUUUGUUGGGUGAAACCAAGGUGUUAUGUUGGUUGAUACCAAGGUGCUUUGUUGGUUGAAACCAAGGUGCUUUGUUGGUUGAAACCAAUGUGCUUUGUUGGGUGAAACCAAGGUGUUAUGUUGGUUAAUACCAAGGUGUUAUGUUGGUUGAUACCAAGGUGUUAUGUCGGUUGAUACCAAGGUGUUAUGUUGGUUAAUACCAAGGUGUUAUGUUGGUUAAUACCAAGGUGUUAUGUUGGUUAAUACCAAGGUGUUAUGUUGGUUAAUACCAAGGUGUUAUGUUGGUUAAUACCAAGGUGUUAUGUUGGUUAAAUACCAAGGUGUUAUGUUGGUUGAUACCAAGGUGUUAUGUUGGUUGAUACCAAGGUGCUUUGUUGGUUAAUACCAAGGUGUUAUGUUGGUUAAUACCAAGGUGUUAUGUUGGUUGAAACCAAGGUGUUAUGUUGGUUGAAACCAAGGUGCUUUGUUGGUUGAAACCAAGGUGCUUUGUUGGGUGAAACCAAGGUGCUUUGUUGGUUAAUACCAAGGUGCUUUGUUGGGUGAAACCAAGGUGCUUUGUUGGGUGAAACCAAGGGGCUUUGUUGGGUGAAACCAAGGGGCUUUGUUGGGUGAAACCAAUGUGCAUACCGGUGAAACUCAUCUAGCCAACCAUGAUGGCAUAACCUAGAAAGGGGACAACUUUAGUGGUAAUUAGUUUCUGUAUAAGCUGUAAACCAGAUGAAUCAACAGAAUAUAUAGCUGGUCUUUCACCUGUAUCUGUUCUGGGGGAAAAGGUACUUUCAAAAUAUGGAUUGACCAUUUGAAAAGCAGUCCACUAUACAGACAAUGGGGUGAUUUGGGGAUAGGUGUCUUCUACUGAAAAGCCAAUAAUAUACAGUGGUGACUGAAUCAUGUUACCAUCCUGAUCUCUUUCUAAAAUCUACUUCUGAAAUAAGGACAAAUAUUCCACCAAGCAAGCUGUUCGUCUGUUCUACUGACUGACUCGUAUACUGUACACCCCUCUUCAUUCUCUGUCAGACACUACAGCAGUGUCUCAAUCUAUCUUCUCUCUUCGGGAGUGCGACAGGUAGCCGCGGGGGCGACAGGUAGCCGGGGUGCGACAGGUAGCCGGGGGCGACAGGUAGCCGGGGUGCGACAGGUAGCCGGGGGCGA